Molecule: ribosomal RNA, 253 nt
Filed under: uncultured bacterium
Lineage: Bacteria
Description: partial 16S ribosomal RNA
Rfam family: Bacterial small subunit ribosomal RNA
Source: RNAcentral
UACGUAGGGGGCAAGCGUUGUCCGGAAUCAUUGGGCGUAAAGCGCGUGUAGGCGGCCUCGUAAGUCCGCUCUGAAAGCCUGGGGCUCAACCCCAGGAGGCGGGUGGAUACUACGAGGCUCGAGUACGGAAGAGGCGAGUGGAAUUCCCGGUGUAGCGGUGAAAUGCGCAGAUAUCGGGAGGAACACCAAUGGCGAAGGCAGCUCGCUGGGACGUUACUGACGCUGAGGUGCGAAAGCGUGGGGAGCAAACAGG